This 75-nucleotide transfer RNA is filed under the name Deltaproteobacteria bacterium. Its description in RNAcentral is "tRNA-Arg". It matches the Rfam family "tRNA". Rfam says of the family: Transfer RNA (tRNA) molecules are approximately 80 nucleotides in length. Their secondary structure includes four short double-helical elements and three loops (D, anti-codon, and T loops). Further hydrogen bonds mediate the characteristic L-shaped molecular structure. tRNAs have two regions of fundamental functional importance: the anti-codon, which is responsible for specific mRNA codon recognition, and the 3' end, to which the tRNAs corresponding amino acid is attached (by aminoacyl-tRNA synthetases). tRNAs cope with the degeneracy of the genetic code in two manners: having more than one tRNA (with a specific anti-codon) for a particular amino acid; and 'wobble' base-pairing, i.e. permitting non-standard base-pairing at the 3rd anti-codon position. The record is from RNAcentral. Lineage: Bacteria; Pseudomonadati; Myxococcota; Myxococcia.
GAUCCCUUAGCUCAGUUGGAUCAGAGCGGUGCUUUCCUAAAGCACAGGUCGCAGGUUCGAGACCUGCAGGGAUCA